This 427-nucleotide ribosomal RNA is filed under the name uncultured bacterium. RNAcentral describes it as "partial 16S ribosomal RNA". It matches the Rfam family "Bacterial small subunit ribosomal RNA", at positions 355 to 774 of the family's 1533-position model. The record is from RNAcentral.
UGGGGAAUAUUGCACAAUGGGCGCAAGCCUGAUGCAGCCAUGCCGCGUGUAUGAAGAAGGCCUUCGGGUUGUAAAGUACUUUCAGCGGGGAGGAAGGUGUUGAGGUUAAUAACCUCAGCAAUUGACGUUACCCGCAGAAGAAGCACCGGCUAACUCCGUGCCAGCAGCCGCGGUAAUACGGAGGGUGCAAGCGUUAAUCGGAAUUACUGGGCGUAAAGCGCACGCAGGCGGUCUGUCAAGUCGGAUGUGAAAUCCCCGGGCUCAACGUGGGAACUGCAUUCGAAACUGGCAGGCUAGAGUCUUGUAGAGGGGGGUAGAAUUCCAGGUGUAGCGGUGAAAUGCGUAGAGAUCUGGAGGAAUACCGGUGGCGAAGGCGGCCCCCUGGACAAAGACUGACGCUCAGGUGCGAAAGCGUGGGGAGCAAACA